GAUGAACGCUAGCGGCAGGCCCAAUACAUGCAAGUCGAACGGUAAAUAUUGUAGCAAUACGAUAUGAGAGUGACGUACGGGUGCGUAACACGUAUGCAACCUACCCAAAACUGGAGUAUAGCUCGGGGAAACCCGAAUUAACCCUUCAUAGUAUCACUGGAUGGCAUCAUUUGGUGAUUAAAACUCAGGUGGUUUUGGAUGGGCAUGCGUCUGAUUAGCUAGUUGGCGGGGUAAAGGCCCACAAAGGCGAUGAUCAGUAGGGGAACUGAGAGGUUGAUCCCCCACACUGGCACUGAGAUACGGGCCGGACUCCUACGGGAGGCAGCAGUAGGGAAUAUUGGUCAAUGGAUGCAAGUCUGAACCAGCCAUGCCGCGUGCAGGAAGAAGGCCUUCUGGGUUGUAAACUGCUUUUGCCAGAGGAUAAAAUGGGCGUGCGCGCCUAAUUGAAGGUACCUGGUGAAUAAGCCACGGCUAACUACGUGCCAGCAGCCGCCGUAA
Molecule: ribosomal RNA, 498 nt
Filed under: uncultured bacterium
Lineage: Bacteria
Description: partial 16S ribosomal RNA
Rfam family: Bacterial small subunit ribosomal RNA
Source: RNAcentral